RNAcentral lists this ribosomal RNA (245 nucleotides) under uncultured bacterium. RNAcentral's name for it is "partial 16S ribosomal RNA". It matches the Rfam family "Bacterial small subunit ribosomal RNA", at positions 524 to 768 of the family's 1533-position model. The record is from RNAcentral.
UACGGAGGAUGCAAGCGUUAUCCGGAUUCAUUGGGUUUAAAGGGUGCGCAGGCGGACUAAUAAGUCAGUGGUGAAAUUCUACGGCUCAACUGUAGAACUGCCAUUGAUACUGUUAGACUAGAGUAUAAUUGGAGUGGGCGGAAUGUGUCAUGUAGCGGUGAAAUGCAUAGAUAUGACACAGAACACCGAUCGCGAAGGCAGCUCACUAAGUUACCACUGACGCUCAUGCACGAAAGCGUGGGGAU